CGCGGGAUGGAGCAGCAUGGUAGCUCGUCGGGCUCAUAACCCGAAGGUCGUCGGUUCAAAUCCGGCUACCGCAACCA
RNAcentral lists this transfer RNA (77 nucleotides) under Shewanella algae. RNAcentral's name for it is "tRNA-Met". It matches the Rfam family "tRNA". From Rfam's summary of the family: Transfer RNA (tRNA) molecules are approximately 80 nucleotides in length. The record is from RNAcentral. Lineage: Bacteria; Pseudomonadati; Pseudomonadota; Gammaproteobacteria; Alteromonadales; Shewanellaceae.